GACGAACGCUGGCGGCGUGCUUAACACAUGCAAGUCGAACGGAAAGGCCCUGCUUUUGUGGGGUGCUCGAGUGGCGAACGGGUGAGUAACACGUGAGUAACCUGCCCUUGACUUUGGGAUAACUUCAGGAAACUGGGGCUAAUACCGGAUAGGAGCUCCUGCUGCAUGGUGGGGGUUGGAAAGUUUCGGCGGUUGGGGAUGGACUCGCGGCUUAUCAGCUUGUUGGUGGGGUAGUGGCUUACCAAGGCUUUGACGAGUAGCCGGCCUGAGAGGGUGACCGGCCACAUUGGGACUGAGAUACGGCCCAGACUCCUACGGGAGGCAGCAGUGGGGAAUAUUGCACAAUGGGCGGAAGCCUGAUGCAGCAACGCCGCGUGCGGGAUGACGGCCUUCGGGUUGUAAACCGCUUUCGCCUGUGACGAAGCGUGAGUGACGGUAAUGGGUAAAGAAGCACCGGCUAACUACGUGCCAGCAGCCGCGGUGAUACGUAGGGUGCGAGCGUUGUCCGGAUUUAUUGGGCGUAAAGGGCUCGUAGGUGGUUGAUCGCGUCGGAAGUGUAAUCUUGGGGCUUAACCCUGAGCGUGCUUUCGAUACGGGUUGACUUGAGGAAGGUAGGGGAGAAUGGAAUUCCUGGUGGAGCGGUGGAAUGCGCAGAUAUCAGGAGGAACACCAGUGGCGAAGGCGGUUCUCUGGGCCUUUCCUGACGCUGAGGAGCGAAAGCGUGGGGAGCGAACAGGCUUAGAUACCCUGGUAGUCCACGCUGUAAACGGUGGGUACUAGGUGUGGGGUCCAUUCCACGGGUUCCGUGCCGUAGCUAACGCUUUAAGUACCCCGCCUGGGGAGUACGGCCGCAAGGCUAAAACUCAAAGGAAUUGACGGGGCCCCGCACAAGCGGCGGAGCAUGCGGAUUAAUUCGAUGCAACGCGUAGAACCUUACCUGGGUUUGACAUGGAUCGGGAGCGCUCAGAGAUGGGUGUGCCUCUUUUGGGGUCGGUUCACAGGUGGUGCAUGGCUGUCGUCAGCUCGUGUCGUGAGAUGCUGGGUUAAGUCCCGCAACGAGCGCAACCCUUGUUCACUGUUGCCAGCACGUUAUGGUGGGGACUCAGUGGAGACCGCCGGGGUCAACUCGGAGGAAGGUGGGGAUGACGUCAAGUCAUCAUGCCCCUUAUGUCCAGGGCUUCACGCAUGCUACAAUGGCUGGUACAGAGAGUGGCGAGCCUGUGAGGGUGAGCGAAUCUCGGAAAGCCGGUCUCAGUUCGGAUUGGGGUCUGCAACUCGACCUCAUGAAGUCGGAGUCGCUAGUAAUCGCAGAUCAGCAACGCUGCGGUGAAUACGUUCCCGGG
RNAcentral lists this ribosomal RNA (1343 nucleotides) under uncultured bacterium. RNAcentral describes it as "16S ribosomal RNA". It matches the Rfam family "Bacterial small subunit ribosomal RNA", at positions 28 to 1378 of the family's 1533-position model. The record is from RNAcentral.